AUGUUCAACAAUGCAAUUGCUUCUAUGGCACUUAGGGAAGUGACUAGAACGGGGGCGAGAUACACUUGGACCAACAAGCAACUUGCCCCGGUGCGAUCGGUCCUGGAUCGUGCCUUCAUGUCUCCGGACUGGGAAGUGCUUUUCUCUUUGUGCUCGCUCCUUGCUGAAACGAGGAUCGGCUCAGAUCAUGUUCCCCUAAUUUUAUCUUCAGGGGAAGAUAGAAUUCGGCGCAGCCCGCGGUUUUUCUUCGAAACUGCGUGGUUCGAGGUCCCUGACUUUGACGCAAUCUUUAGGGAGAGGUGGCUUCGAAGUGUCCAGCUAGCAGGCCUGCAGCAUGGCCCGAUGGAGCUGUGGAUUGUGGUGGGGGCCCGCCUGCGCGCAAGCCUUAAGGGGUGGGGCGCGAACCAGGGACGGGAUGCGAAGGUCCUCAGGGCGAGGCUUUUGGCAGACAUCGCCUCCCUGGAUAUCCAAGCGGACACUCGCCCUUUCUCGGAGCCCGAAUGGGCACAGCGCUACGCCUUGGAAGGACAAGUCGAAGCUUUGCUGUGGGCCGAGGAGGAGUAUUGGAGGCGUCGAGGCGGCCUGAAAUGGACGCUCAAAGGGGACGCCAAUACCCAGUAUUUCCAUGCCUACGCGAACGGCCGGCGUAGGAAGUGCUCUAUCCUUAGGCUGCAGACGGAGCAGGGGCUCCUUCUUCAUCAAGCGGAGAUCUCCAACCACAUGUACGACUUCUACAUAAGCUUGAUGGGGACGGAGGAGGCUCAGCGCGCCCGCCUGCGAGCCGAUGUGUGGCUGCCGUAUCAGCGAGUGCUUGAUAGUGAGAACGAGGAGUUGGGGCUUGCGUUUCUUCCUAAGGAAAUCGAUGACACGCUGCAUAGCAUGAAAACGGACACGGCACCUGGCCCUGACGGGUGGCCAGUGGCGAUGUUUAAACAUUUUUGGCCACUGCUUCGUGGCCCUAUCUUUGACGUGUGCAACGGUUUUAUGCGCGGCUUUGUUGAUAUCGCUAGGCUGAACUACGGUGUGCUUUCGCUCAUACCGAAAGUUCCGGGCGCGGACAAUAUCCGGCAGUACAGGCCCAUUGCCCUCAUUAACGUGCCGUUCAAAAUUUGUGCCAAAGGUUGCGCCUCUAGACUCUCACCGAUCGUCCACCGCACCAUUAGUCGCUCGCAAUUGGCGUUUAUUCGCGGCAGGAACAUCCUCGAGGGCCCUUUAGCUUUGCAGGAGACCCUUCACGAGCUUAGACGCUCUCACGAACCGACGAUCCUCCUGAAAUUAGAUUUCGAGAAGGCAUAUGACCGCGUCAACUGGGCCUUUCUUCGGCAAGUCCUCUCCAGUAGGGGAUUCUCGCCUAUUUGGGUGCACCGCAUUAUGCAAUUGGUCUUGGGGGGCCAGACCGCUAUCUCGGUUAAUGGAGAAGUAGGGAAUUUCUUCAGGAACAAGCGAGGCCUGCGUCACGGGGACCCCAUGUCUCCUAUCCUUUUCAACUUUAUCGCCGAUGCGUUGGCUGCCAUGCUGCAGAAAGCCACGGAGGCUGGGCACAUUAAAGGGGUGUUGGGGCACCUUAUCCCAGGGGGGAUCACUCACUUGCAAUACGCGGACGAUACGCUCCUGCUAUUCCAACCAGACCUGCACAGCAUUGCCACUGUCAAAGCGCUGCUCAUUAGUUUCGAACUUAUGUCGGGUCUUAAGAUAAACUUCCACAAAAGCGAAGUGAUGUCUUUGGGCGUGGAGACGCAGGACAGUAGGCGAGUCGCGGACCUCCUUAAUUGCAAGUUGGGCAAACUCCCGUUCACCUAUUUGGGCCUUCCGUUAGAUGCUAAGCGCAUUAAGAUAGAUGGAUGGGCCCCACUGUGGACCAAGGUGGGUGGUCGGGUGUGCCCCUGGAGGGGGAAGUUCCUCUCCUCCGCAGCCAGGUUGGUGCUCACAAACUCGAGCCUCUCCUCGCUGCCCCAAUUCGCAAUGGGGCUGUUCCUUCUGGCCGCUGGGGUGCACGCCAGGAUGGACACUCCCCGGUCCCGCUUCUUUUGGGAAGGAACGGGACCUAAGCGCAAAUACCACAUGGUUCGCUGGGAUGCAGUGUGUCGUCCGAAAGCCCAGGGAGGGCUUGGGAUCACGAACACCAGGAUCCUUAACAUCGCACUCAUGUGUAAGUGGAUCUGGAAGUUGUCGCAGGGCGCGACAGGCCUGUGGGUUGACCUUCUUCGAGCUAAGUACUUCCCGUCUGGGAACUUCUUCGAAGGAGUAGCCAGGGGCUCUCCGUUUGGGAAUGACCUUCAAGCGGUUCGGCCUGCUUUCGCCUUGGGAGCCAAGUUCUCUGUAGGCAACGGUCGUUCGGCCCAUUUCUGGCUGGAUCAUUGGGUGGGUUCACAGCCACUCUGGUCCAUCUUCCAGGACCUGUACAUCCAGGCGGUCAACCCGGACUUGACCGUAGCCGAGGCCCUUGCCUCCUCUCCACCUGCGCUCUGUUUUAGACGCGAGCUUUCGGGAGCGGAGGCGGCGCACCUAGCGGAGUUGCGUGAGCUCAUCGCACCGGUGUCGCUUUCCACGCACGCGAAUACAGUGUCGUGGUCUCUCACAUCUUCAGGCAAGUUCUCCGUGAAAUCUUUGUACCAUAAGAUGUGUCAGAGCCAGACCUGCCUUGUGCCCAAAGGCCUUUGGACCACGCGCCUCCCGCUCAAAAUCAAAGUUUUCUUCUGGCAGUUGUUUCGCAACAAACUGCCCACCUCGGCUAAUGUAGCCAAACGGAACGGUCCGUCGAUGGGCACUUGCGCGGUGUGCCACGUCGAGGAGGAUGCGAACCAUGUUUUCUUCCGCUGCCCGCUGGCUCGUUUUGCGUGGAGUGCGGUCGGAGCCGCCGCCAACACCUCUUGGAACCCGCGAUUGACCUUCGAUCUGGCGGAGUUAUUUGCCUCGGCUUCGGAAGGCAAUAACCGCGUGCUGUGGAGCUGUAUUGGAGCCCUAGCUUGGUCUCUUUGGCUCACUAGGAAUAAACUGCAAUCGAGGGUAUUUUCCCAACGCACCCGGCUAACAUACUAUAUAAAUGCAACCUCUUCUUGCAGCAGUGGAGUUCGUUGGUGA
This 3081-nucleotide ribosomal RNA is filed under the name Triticum aestivum (bread wheat). RNAcentral's name for it is "partial small subunit ribosomal RNA". The record is from RNAcentral. Lineage: Eukaryota; Viridiplantae; Streptophyta; Magnoliopsida; Poales; Poaceae.